Erythranthe guttata (spotted monkey flower) is the source of this 445-nucleotide non-coding RNA. NCBI's taxonomy places the organism in Eukaryota, Viridiplantae, Streptophyta, Magnoliopsida, Lamiales, Phrymaceae. The record is from RefSeq and is a predicted model, not a curated record.
CAAGUUAUAUGCAAGUUAUACGUCAUUCUUAAUACCGUCGAAGGAAGUAUCGGUUUCGGUUUCGGUUUCGGUUUCAGAUCUAUAUUAUGAGCAUGGUUCUGGUGGUGGAAGAGAAGUUACGGCGCCGGAGAAGAUUACGACGUCGGAAAAGGGACAGGGUAAAGGUUCCUACGGCGGCGCAAACAUAGCUCACCGCCGGCCCGGCCAGAAAAGUGCUGCAGUUUUGUAUGCGCCUUGUUUCUUCACUGUUGUUGGUUUCAGCUUCUCUCUGCUUCUUGCUUAGUUCUUCUGCUUUGUAUUAUUAUUAUUAUUUUUAUUAAUUUAUUUUUCCUUCUUUUGUAUUAUUAUGUUUUUGUUGCGUGUUUGGGUUUUGAAUUUUUUUAUGGAUUUGAUAAACGUGUGGUACUGAAAAUUGCAUCAAUUUUGCACUAUCUAGUACUUCAUU